AAAAGCCAGUGAGUCUCUGCAUUUGAGGACCAGUGACAUCACAGAACAAUGUCUGGACUCCUGUAUGAACUGGAUUUAAGUGAGGGGGAACUGCACAAAGUCAUCAGCCUCUUUUCCAGAGUCAUUGAAGUUCAGUGGCAAAUCAAAAGUCAGGAUGACUGGCAAUGACCCAAGAUAUAGUGGAUGACUUUGGUAUCUUCAAUGUCUGACUGAACUCUAAGCUCUCCACAACACCUGCUUCAACCGCCUUCAUGGCCAUUGGAACAAAUUGUUCUCAUCCGCUCAUUUGUGUCCAGAUAUGACAUAACUAAUGGAUGAGUUUUCAUCUCAUUUACCACUGGGGUGGGUCCCAAAGGUCAUUCCUCACUCUUCAAGACAUCGAUGCUGAGCAGGUUCCAAAGCCUAGACCCUGGGACCAAGACAUCUGGAAGUUCUCUCUUCCUGAUCUUUCAGCGCUCGCAAGGUCACAGUCUCCAAUCACUUCUUCUAAGAUGAAAAAGAAUAAAUUCAGAAGCAAAGGAGUGACUUGUUUAAUCAAACCAAAUGUUAGUCUUAGACAGGAGAAGGAUCAAAGCAUCUCUUAUAACAAAAAUGGCCAAAGUCUAUCUUGCUGAAGGCACUCCCAGUUCCAACCAUGGAGCCAAUAUAAAAGUCUUUUUCUAACUUUAUAGUUAGCAGAACCAAUUACAGAAUGUCUCUCUAGAGUUUUUUUCCAGGCACAUCUAUUACUUAUCAUCACAGCUCUUCCAGAAACUGACUAUCCAGGUUUCUCAACAUGGGGAAACAUAACAGAGGCACUUUUCCAGUAUAUUGCUUUAAAAUUCCAAACAGGCCCUGAGAAGCAUACAGAGAUAUACAUAAUCAGCCCUUCCCAUGGAAACAAACAAACAGAAUCACCUUGGUUCCUGAUCCCUCCCUGCCCAGAGUCUUUAGGGAAAAGGGAUCUGCAAAAGACUAAAGUUAGAUCAGAAGAAGGUUCUCCAAGGAGUCAUUGUUUCAUUUUGUAGCACAUCUCCAUGGCACUGGAGCUUCAAAGAUGAGUCCUUUGCUAAUCUCUCUAAAGGGAACAACAAGUUCAUAUGCUGAAAAGACUUAUUUUUGUCAGAGAUGCUUAUUAGAUUAGAUAUACUUUAACAUAGAGGAAUGGAAUUUUUGCAUUUGAAAGUAUUUUGUUGCCCAGAAGUGGAGUGAGUCUAUUGGAUGAUGGUAAUGAUUAUGUUUGGUAUUGAUCUUUAUCACCAUCAUUGAUUUUUUUCUCAUCAAUAUAAUAAUUAUCAACAAAUAUGAACAUUUCAGGAUUUUUGUUGUUGUUCAUUUUGGUUAUUUAUAUCUGACUCUUUGUGAUGCCAUUUGGGCUUUUGUUGUUUAUUAUUUUGGUAAAGAUACUGAAUUAGUUUGCCAUUUCCUUCUCCAGCUAGUUUUACAGAUGAGGAAACUGAGGCAAAAAGGAUUAAGAUUGGAGUAAUUGGUUGCUUCUUUUUCUAGUUCAUUUUACUGACAAGGAACUGAGGCAAAUGGGAUCACACAACUAGUAAGUGUCUAAGGCUGGAUCUGAACUCAUGAAGAUGAAUCUUUCUGAUUCUAUGGCCAGCACGCUAUCCAUGUACCAGUAUGCAAAGAAAAAAAAAAUGAGUUGUAGAUGACAUUGUGAACUUGGUUAUGUUUAGCUUGGUUUGUUAUUUUAUACUAAAUUUAAGCUUGUCUUAAAAAGAAUGUAUAGAAUGCUGGGAUGGAAUCUUAAAAACAAUGGAUAGAGUCAGGACAACUUGGGUUCCUAUGUUCAAGUCUGACCUCAGACAUUUAAUAGCUCUGUGAUCCUGGGCAAGUCACUUCAUCCUGUCUGCCUCAGUUUUUUCAUCUGUAAAAUGAGCUAGAAAAGGAAAUGGCAAAUCACUCCAUUAUCUUUGCCAAGAAAAACCUACUGGGAUUAUGAAGAGACAUGAGUGAAACAACUGAACAAUAACAAAAUUACCCCCAUGUUCCCUUUUGAACUUUAUUCUGUUUUUUUUUAAUAUUUCAAUGAUUUUUUUUCUUAGCUUUUUUUCCCUUGCAUAUUUGUCACUACUACUAAUUAAGUGGUACAGUAGAUCAAACCCUGGGACUGGAGUAAGGAAAACACAAGUUCAAAUUUAACCUCACUUACUAUCUGUGUCACUUAACCUUUGUUUCCCUCAGUUUCUUUAUCUGUAAAAUGGAGACAAUAAUAACACCUACCUCCCAGGGUUGUUGUAAGGAUCAAAUGAGGUAAUAAUUAUGAAGCAUUUAGUACAGUGCCUGGCACAAAGAAGGAGCUCUUAUUACUAACUAAUUAUACCCCUAUUAAAAGCUUUCCUUGGAAAGAGAAAAGUAUAGUUAAUCAAAAAAAAAAAAAAUAAACACACACACAGAAUAUUAGUAUAUCUAUUUCUACUUAUAUAUACCUAUAAAUCUUUGGACACAGAGAGAAUAUUAGUAUAUAUUUGUACAUACACACACACAUAUAUACAGAGAAUAUUUGUAUAUCUGUACUUACAUAUAUCUAUAUAAAUAUAUAUGUAAGUAUAUAUAUAUAUACAUAUACAUAUAUAUGUAUAGUCAAACAAAUUGACACACUGGUCAUGUUUGAAAAUGUUUAUCUCAUUCUGUACAUCUCUAGUUACUUCUCUUCCAAGAGAUGGUAGCAAGCAUGAAUUUCUAAGCAAUUUGUAGAUAAUAAAUGAGUCCUUGCACUAUCCCAUGGGAUAGUCUAGUUACAUCAUCACUGGAUUAUGGAGGAGAAAUGGAGCACUCUAAAGGCUUACAUAGCUAUUGGUAAUACCAUGAGUCACACAAUCGAAACUGAAGUUGUGACAAGCUGGGGGCAGGGUUGCAUUUGGCCUAAUUUAGAGAGAGGUGAGCAAGUAUAAUAGAAAAAUACAUUGGAUUUAAUAUUCAGAAAACAGUAUUCAAAUCUCAGCUCAUCUACUAUUCAUUUAUUCUUGAGAAAGUUAUCUUAUCCCUUAGAGUCUUCAGCUUCUUCAUCUGUAAACUGGAUGUAAUUAUAACAAUUGCUACUUAACUCACAGGGUGAGGAAAGCAGUUUGCAAAUUGUAAAAUGGUAAACAAACUGGAAUUGUUUCUGAGAAGCUUUGUGGUACAGGUAGGAAACAUGCUGACUUUGGAGUUAGAGAACACUUACCACUUUUGUAACCUUGGAAAGUACCAUAAUUUCUCUUGGCCUCAGUUUCCUAAAUAGUAAAAUGAGUAUUUUAAAUAGAUGAUCUGCCUGAGGCAUUUUAAAAACUCCUACUUUCAGAUUCACACUCAAUUAGGAAUAUGGGAAUGAUAUUUCUCAAUGAUUAGAGGGAUUUAAUAGUAUCCCAGAGAGAGAACUUUUCUUGGGAUUCCUAAUCCAGGAAAGUAAACAAGAUUCUAUUAAAGUCAAAAUUCCUAGUAUAGGGUAACCAAAUCUCAGGAUUAGAUAAAUAUCAGAAGGUGAUGGUAGCAACAGUCCAAGGCCAGGAUUAUUUAUACUGAGUACAGACAGAGAGGAGCAAUAAUCAUUGGUAAAGUAAUAGUAUGCAAUUCCUCCAUACAAUAUAAUAUUUUAUUAUGGCAGCCAUACAUUAAUCAUAUCUCCUGUUUUCUCUGCUGUGUUACACUGGGAUUGAACAGUUAUAUAAAAAGAAGCAUAACAUGCUUGGAUGUGUAUAUGUAUGUGUGUGUAUGUAUGUAUGUUUGGGGAUCAUAAGUGAUGUCUCAAGUAUGAAAAAGGGGGGCAUUUCUUCAAAGAAGUUAGAGAUUGUGGCUAUGGAAUAUUGAAUAUAAUGUCAGAAUUUUUUGGUUAAUUUUGCUGAACUGUUUUUCUGUUCUUAUCUUUUGUUAUAAGAUUUUACUUUUUAGAAGGGAGAGAAGGAAGAGACACAUUGGAAAAUGUAGAUGAUGUGAAAACAAAAAAAAUGUCAAUAAAAAUUUAAUUAAAAAAAGAAUGAGGGAAAUGAUUUUUCUAAUUUAUAUGUUUCUAAUUUAUUCUAAUUUUAUUAAAGAAUCCCUCUGCC
RNAcentral lists this long non-coding RNA (4016 nucleotides) under Sarcophilus harrisii (Tasmanian devil). RNAcentral's name for it is "lncRNA (ENSSHAG00000024883.1)". Lineage: Eukaryota; Metazoa; Chordata; Mammalia; Dasyuromorphia; Dasyuridae. The record is from RNAcentral.